RNAcentral lists this ribosomal RNA (530 nucleotides) under uncultured bacterium. RNAcentral describes it as "bacterial SSU rRNA". It matches the Rfam family "Bacterial small subunit ribosomal RNA", at positions 777 to 1304 of the family's 1533-position model. The record is from RNAcentral.
AAUAGAUACCCCGGUAGUCCACGCCGUAAACGAUGAGUGCUAAGUGUUAGAGGGUUUCCGCCCUUUAGUGCUGCAGCUAACGCAUUAAGCACUCCGCCUGGGGAGUACGGUCGCAAGACUGAAACUCAAAGGAAUUGACGGGGGCCCGCACAAGCGGUGGAGCAUGUGGUUUAAUUCGAAGCAACGCGAAGAACCUUACCAGGUCUUGACAUCCUCUGACAACUCUAGAGAUAGAGCGUUCCCCUCCGGGGGACAGAGUGACAGGUGGUGCAUGGUUGUCGUCAGCUCGUGUCGUGAGAUGUUGGGUUAAGUCCCGCAACGAGCGCAACCCUUGACCUUAGUUGCCAGCAUUUAGUUGGGCACUCUAAGGUGACUGCCGGUGACAAACCGGAGGAAGGUGGGGAUGACGUCAAAUCAUCAUGCCCCUUAUGACCUGGGCUACACACGUGCUACAAUGGAUGGUACAAAGGGCUGCAAGACCGCGAGGUCAAGCCAAUCCCAUAAAAACCAUUCUCAGUUCGGAUUGUAGG